RNAcentral lists this non-coding RNA (28 nucleotides) under Homo sapiens (human). Lineage: Eukaryota; Metazoa; Chordata; Mammalia; Primates; Hominidae. The record is from RNAcentral.
UGACAUUUGCAUUCCAAACCAGAGCCCC